GCGCCAAUUUGGUUUAGAAAAAUGAGUUUUCACCCUUAUCCCAAAGAUUGUGUCAACGCCACCUUUUAACUUGCUGGAUUGAUUGAAGCUUCUUUACCUCUUCUUUCAGAUUUUCGAAGCAUCUUGAAUCAAUAUGUCACAUAAUUAGGAAGGAUCAUCCAACGUGUCCAUGUGUGUGAUUUUAAAGUAUAGAAAUUAGCAAUUAGAAGAGAUUUUAUACGAAAUAAAAUAGAGUAUAGGAUACAAUACUUCGACGAUGAACUUAAUAUUUUUAAAUGUCAUGUGAUUCACAGCCAAAUAAGCUUCAUUUAUCCAAUUCACUAUGUUGUUCCUCC
This 335-nucleotide long non-coding RNA is filed under the name Solanum tuberosum (potato). Its description in RNAcentral is "long non-coding RNA (STUB_LNC003756)". Lineage: Eukaryota; Viridiplantae; Streptophyta; Magnoliopsida; Solanales; Solanaceae. The record is from RNAcentral.